This 72-nucleotide transfer RNA is filed under the name Sillago japonica (Japanese sillago). RNAcentral's name for it is "tRNA-Pro". It matches the Rfam family "tRNA". From Rfam's summary of the family: Transfer RNA (tRNA) molecules are approximately 80 nucleotides in length. Their secondary structure includes four short double-helical elements and three loops (D, anti-codon, and T loops). Lineage: Eukaryota; Metazoa; Chordata; Actinopteri; Sillaginidae. The record is from RNAcentral.
CAAAGGGUAGUUUAGUGCUAUAAAUGCUGGCUUUGGGAGCCGGUGAUGGCGGCUAAAAUCCGCCUCCUUUGA